This is a long non-coding RNA of Homo sapiens (human), 1258 nucleotides long. NCBI's taxonomy places the organism in Eukaryota, Metazoa, Chordata, Mammalia, Primates, Hominidae. The record is from Ensembl.
AUAGUCUCCGACGCACCUCCAAACCCUUUCUCCUGCUCUAGGCCCAGCGCCUUGGACGUGCACAGUAGAUCCCUCCCGGCUUCCCGGCUUCCCGUCUCGUCACCCUCUGGGCUGUGACCAUCUAUGACAAGCCGGCAUCUUUCUUUAAAGAGACACCUCUGGACCUGCUGCACCGGCUCUUCAUGAAGCUGGGUGGCACUCACUCUCUGUUCAGGGCCUGCUCAGAACCUGAGGACGCAGCCAUGGAGCGGUCGGCCUUCAUGGAGCUGGAUGCUGGGAGCAGGCUGGUGAUGCAUCUCCGCGAGUGGCCAGCCCUGCUGGUCAGCAGCACGGGCUGGACAGGGUCGGUGGACCUGGGUGUCUGUCUGCACAUGUCCUCCAGUGGCCUGGACCUGCCCAUGAAGGUGGUGGACAUGUUCGGGUGCUGUUUGCCUGUGUGUGCCGUGAACUUCAAGUGUUUACAUGAGCUGGUGAAACAUGAAGAAAAUGGCCUGGUCUUUGAGGACUCAGAGGAACUGGCAGCUCUGCAGAUGCUUUUCUCAAACUUUCCUGAUCCUGCAGGCAAGCUAAACCAGUUUUGGAAGAACCUGCGGGAGUCGCAGCAGCUCCGAUGGGAUGAGAGCUGGGUGCAGACUGUGCUCCCUUUGGUUAUGGACAUACAACUCCUGGGCCAGAGGCUAAAACCCCGGGACCCCUGCUGUCCUUCCCGCAGCUUCUUCUCGGAGUCUCAGGGCAAACCCUUUUGAGCAGCGCCUCCCAGUGGCCAGAAGCUGAAAUGACGGCAGUGGUGCCGCCUGGUGAAUGAAUUGGUUCUGUGACCCGGGAAGCUGUGCUUGGCUCUGAUUUCUUUUCCGGAGGCUCGGAAACACUUCCUCUCUUCUUCUGUUCUUCAUGCCCCAUGCCCCUGCUAGCGUAUUACUGUUCUGUGACUUCCCUGUGACCUCUGCAGUACUCCUUAUCCUGCGUUUGGUCUCCAGGUGUCACCUUUCUGCCGUGUUCCUAACAUUUUGAUUCCUGUCUUGAAAAAAGCACCUGCUGCAUCGUAAGCCCAGGGAUGUGGCAGCUGCAGCGGGCUUGGCUUUGUGAAGAACUGAGUGUGUCCGCGGAUGUGGCAGCUGCAGCAGUCUUGGCUUUGUGAGGAACCAAGUGUGUCCAGGGAUGUGGCAGCUGCAGCAGGCUUGGCUUUGUGAGGAACCGAGUGUGUCCACAUACUUGAUACACACGUUUUUAUUUGCACAAAGAAAAUGCUAUUUUUGGA